This is a non-coding RNA of Pelobates cultripes (western spadefoot toad), 84 nucleotides long. The record is from the annotation of a GenBank genome assembly. NCBI's taxonomy places the organism in Eukaryota, Metazoa, Chordata, Amphibia, Anura, Pelobatidae.
UAGUGUGUAUAUAAUGCAGUGUAUUUGUGUAGUGUGCAUUAUAUAAACACACUACACAAACACACUGCAUUAUAUAUACACACA